Long non-coding RNA from Suricata suricatta (meerkat), 2180 nucleotides. RefSeq lists it as uncharacterized. NCBI's taxonomy places the organism in Eukaryota, Metazoa, Chordata, Mammalia, Carnivora, Herpestidae. The record is from RefSeq and is a predicted model, not a curated record. The transcript is spliced from 4 exons.
AUUUAAAAAUGUUAAAAAAUAAUAUAGUUUAAAAAUUUCUCAAGGCACUGCUGGGCAGAAAGCUUAAAUUUAAGCAAAUGAAUACUUAAAAUGGAUAUAAACAUUUUAGAGCCAGCAACUAUUCAAAACAUAAAUGUUUUAGGAUGAAGAAGCCUUUUAUAGUUGUAAUAAGCUUGCAUUGUUUUUGAUAUCUGUUAUAAAUUACAACUCUGAUUAUUAUAUAAACAUGGAAUUAUGUUAGUCUAUGAGUCUUGGUUAAUGGGUGUCACACAUUUUCUGUAUAUUUCUAAAUUCUCCAAAUUAAAAAUAUUGAUCCAAAACUAGAAGCAAGAAUGACAGCUAUUUUAUAUGAUUUUUUAACAAGUUAUAGCUAUUAUUUUUCUUCACCUGAUUCAAAGGAAUGCAUAGGAUGUAUUCAUGUAGAACACACCUAUUAGUACUUACGAUAGAGGAAUGGUAUUGGCAAUUUAAUUUCAGUUAUCUACAUUUUCUAAACAAUGAAGAUGUAUCACUGAACAUAACAUAGAAAUAGCAACCAUUCAAAAUAGUUGAACAUUUAUUGUAUCAUUUACUCUAUAGAGGCAAUCUCAUUAUUACAGUAAAUAUAGCCAGUUAUGUGCAUUUAUAGACACAGGGUUCUAUAAUGUACAUGGCAAUUUGUAACAAAUACACAAAUGUAAUGGAUAUUUGGGGUUAUUUUUGAUACAAGCUUAUAUAACAAAGAUUCUGUGGCUGUGUGCUAAGGAGCGGUUUCGAUUUGAAGACUUGAAAAAUUUUUAAUGAAAUCUUGCCUCCUUCCCCCUUUUUUUGGCAGAUGAAUUAUUGAAGAAAAAGUGUGAAAGCAGAUUGAUUCUGUACCCACUUUUUAGAUUUCAGAUUCACAUGCAUCGUAAUAAAGUUGCCUCCAUGCGGUCUUAAUUCAGUGAAGGCUUUCUGGUUUGGAGUUCAUAUACAUAAUUGUGCAAAGGCUCUGUAGUGUAAUACCUUUGUGAUGUGUACAGACAUAACAAAAUUUACCUAGGAUGUUUCUUAUUCUGAACAAAGCAAUAACAGAAAUUGGUACCAAGAGUGAGAUAUGAACCACCAUUUUAAGACCUUUAUUUCAUUAUCAGUAUCUUCUUCAUGAACAUAGUCCAGGAGGCUAUGUGGCAGCAGAGUUGGCUAUGCUCCAGAAGAUGAUACUCUAGGCUAGAGAUCAGCAAAGUUUUCCUAUAAAGGACCAAAUUCACCAACAGUCUCUGAAGGCAAGAGGUCAGCAAGAGAAGCCUGUGUCAGCAGAGUGUGAAGGGACCUUGAUGUGCAUAUGGAGUGAGUGCCUACAUAGAAGAUGGUUGGAGCUGCCACCCUGCUCUAGGUUUGCACAGCCCUCACGCUAUGGAGGAGUUCCCUAGAGAUUCUUUGGACUCCUUGAGAAGGAACGUGGAAGUUAAAGGAAGGGCAGAAGCUGUACAAUACCUAGGUCAAGUGAGAAGACAACCUACCUCAAGAGAGGCUUUGAGGACAUUUAUCACAUAUGGGCCCAAGGGACAAGCUCCUCCUCCCUUAAGAGGCUGAGGUGAAGCUGACCGUAGACCAAGAAGACCAGCAGCACGAGACAGAACCAAGUCAAAUCAAUAGAAAUGAGGGCCACUUCCUACCACCAUCACCACCAGGCAAACAGUUACGUAUUUCUACCUCCUUCAUCCAUUCUCCUUGCCCCCAACACCAGACUUAAAGAAGAAAAGGGACAAAGUAUCACAAGGACAGACGAUACUGUUACAAAUCCUGGACUUGCCAUCCAGCCCAUGAUUGAGAUGGAUUUAGGGGUAGGGUUGCAAAAACAGUGUUUUGCAUCAGAUAUAAAUGUCAAGAACUAUGGAGGGUCUGGUUUCGCAUUGCAAGCUAACAAGUUAGCCUCCAUGUCUGAUGGCAGAAGACUUAGACUCCUGGGUCAGAAAAUAAUUGCAUUUAUUACCACACAAUAAAAGCAUGAGCCUCAGCAUAUUGGCUGGUUUCCCUUGCCCCCAGGUCCUGUUGGGGGUAGGAGUGAUUCAUGGGCUACGAUAAUAUGAAUACACGGAGUAAGUAUGCUCUAGGAGAAGCCAGGGCCAAGAGCCCAGUGCUUUCUGAGCAAACAGUAAACAUAGGAAAGAGCAAGCAAGCCAGUUGCCCUCUUCUUAAGAGUGAGCAGUGGGGCGCCU